GUGCCCACUUCGGCAGCACAUGUGCUAAAAUUAGAAUGAUACAGAGAAGAUUAGUAUGGCCCCUGCGCAAGGGUGACAUGCAAAUUCAUGAAGCGUUCCAUAUUUAG
Molecule: small nuclear RNA, 107 nt
Filed under: Chinchilla lanigera (long-tailed chinchilla)
Lineage: Eukaryota; Metazoa; Chordata; Mammalia; Rodentia; Chinchillidae
Source: RNAcentral